Molecule: ribosomal RNA, 485 nt
Filed under: uncultured bacterium
Lineage: Bacteria
Description: bacterial SSU rRNA
Rfam family: Bacterial small subunit ribosomal RNA
Source: RNAcentral
AUUGAACGCUAGCGGCAUGCCUUACACAUGCAAGUCGAACGGCAGCACGGGGGCAACCCUGGUGGCGAGUGGCGAACGGGUGAGUAAUGCAUCGGAACGUGCCCAUCGAUGGGGGAUAACUGCGCGAAAGCGUUGCUAAUACCGCAUACGACCUACGGGUGAAAGCAGGGGACCGCAAGGCCUUGCGUCGAUGGAGCGGCCGAUGCCGGAUUAGCUAGUUGGUGAGGUAAAGGCUCACCAAGGCGACGAUCCCGUAGCUGGUCUGAGAGGACGACCAGCCACACUGGGACUGAGACACGGCCCAGACUCCUACGGGAGGCAGCAGUGGGGAAUCUUGGACAAUGGGCGAAAGCCUGAUCCAGCAAUGCCGCGUGUGGGAAGAAGGCCUUCGGGUUGUAAACCACUUUUGGCGGGAAAGAAAUGGUCUGUGCUAAUACCACGGAUUGAUGACGGUACCCGCAGAAUAAGCACCGGCUAACUACGUG